UUCCCCCCAGGUGGCAGCCAUUGCCGUUGGCUGGUGUCUUCAUAUACCCCCCAAAAAUGUGCUACAACUUUUAUUUGAAAAUGGAAGGAAGAAGAGAAGCAGGAAGGCAGGAGAUGGAAGAAGGAGCCAUGAGGUACCUGAGAGCUUUUCCCUGAAGAUUUCUAGGAACCUGUAUGUCUUCAAUCAAAAUCUAAAUACUGUUACUCACCCAGGUGUUAAACUUUGAGGAUAAAUGUCAUCGUGUUUCUCCUUACAAAGAGCUUCAGAGACGCUACUUCAUGGUCAUAACUGGCGCAGAGCGUUAGCACCUUAAGUGGCUCAAUUUGAUCCCUGCUCUUGGGAACAAGGUAAUUAAGUGAGCUGCGACUUAAGCAAAGGCCCUGCCUCGACUUGUCGCCCGUCUUCAGACAGCGCUCCAUCCUAAAUCAUUUGAUAAUGUAAGAGGCUCGGUGCAGUUCUCUACUUGACUGAGGCUUCUCAGUUUGGUGUCAGGAUGACUUUGACAGGUUGUUAGCAACUAUAUGAAGUACAGAACAUCACAGAAAACGUCUCAAACUGUGUUGCUGUGUACUGCUCGGAGCCUCAGGUGGUCCCGAAAUAAGUGAAAGCACUUGCAAGGAAAAGAGUUACAGCAGCGAUUGAAAAUAUGACUACGGGCUUGAUGUCCUAAUGAAGUUCUUCGCACCGUUGGAUAUGUUUCACUCACAGGGCAGGGCUGGGUGGCAUCGGUAGCUCUCCUCUGGAAUGUUCCCGAGCAGAAAAACAGCAAAGUGAAGUUGAAGAGCAAAGCAGACACUCUUACCGCAAAAGUUACAGACUCUUCUUUCUCUCCUUGGGGCUCUUUUUAAAAACCUUCCUUGGCUAGGUGCUUGCCCUGUGCAGAAUGCCAUGCUGAGGCCGGAGGCUACAAGAAGGAAUGAAACAGAACACCCACCCUGGCGGCCUUUGUGGAUGAAGUGCUCUGAUGUGCCUGCUUCUGUCCUGGUGCUACUUCUCCAAGGAAGAAGAGGAAGGGGGAAGAAGGGACUCUGGGAGUGGGGUCAAGAGAAGAGAGCUCAGGUGGGCAGAUGCUACGUUUAUCCUUUCCCGAUCUCCAAACACCCCUUGCGUUCUCCUCUGAUUCCUCAGCAGGAACAGUCGUGUAGUAAAGAACCAAGAAGGUGAACACAUGCAAAUGUGGUGUUCAUUUUCAAAACGUGAAAAAGGAGAUAAUUCCAGGUCUUCUCCAUGGAGAGGAAUCAUUGCUUUGAAGACAGUCCAUGUUCUUCUGUCAACUUGCUUGGUUGGAGAAUAUUGUUGCCAUAGUUAGGGAUUUGUGAUACUGCAAAGGUGUUUGCUUUCAACUUCCUCUUAUCAUUUUUUUAUCCCUUAAAAAUAAAGCAUAAGCGUGUGAAAGAAA
Molecule: long non-coding RNA, 1399 nt
Organism: Suricata suricatta (meerkat)
Lineage: Eukaryota; Metazoa; Chordata; Mammalia; Carnivora; Herpestidae
Exons: 7
Source: RefSeq, a predicted model, not a curated record